Molecule: ribosomal RNA, 1253 nt
Filed under: metagenome
Description: SSU rRNA
Rfam family: Eukaryotic small subunit ribosomal RNA
Source: RNAcentral
GGUGAGGCCCUAUGGGUUUCGCCAUUGGAAUGAGAACAAUAUAAAUCUUUUAACGAGUAACAAGUGGAGGGCAAGUCUGGUGCCAGCAGCCGCGGUAAUUCCAGCUCCACAAGUGUAUUCCUAUAUUGUUGCGGUUUAAAAGCUCGUAGUUGGAUCUGAGUGCUUAGCGGGUGGUACAGUGUUUCACUGUCACUGCUUCGCGGCACAUAACCGUCGACUGGCUGCUGUUGUUGCCUUCACCGGUGACGGCAGUUAGCUAUCGACAUAUUUACUUUGAACAAAUCAGAGUGCUCAAAACAGGCGUUUCGCUUGUAUGUUUUUGCAUGGAAUAAUAGAAUAGGACCUUGGGUCUAUUUUGUUGGUUUUCGGAAUCAAGGUAAUGAUUAAGAGGGACAGACGGGGGCAUUCGUACUGCAACGGGAGAGGUGAAAUUCUUGGAUCGUUGCAAGACGAACUACUGCGAAAGCAUUUGCCAAGAAUGUUUUCAUUAAUCAAGAACGAAAGUAACGGGUUCGAAGGCGAUCAGAUACCGCCCUAGUCGUUACCGUAAACGAUUGUAACCGGGAGCUAGCAGGCGCUUUACUAUGGCUCUGCUAGAACCCACCCGGAAACGAAGAGUUUUCGAUAUCCGGGGGAAGUAUACUUGCAAAUGUGAAACUUAAAGGAAUUGACGGAAGGGCACCACCAGGGGUGGAGCCUGCGGCUUAAUUUGACCCAACACGGUGAAACUCAUCCGGUCCGGACACCGUAAGGAUUGACAGAUUGAGAGCUCUUUCUUGAUUUGGUGGGCAGUGGUGCAUGGCCGUUCUUAGUUGGUGGAGUGAUUUGUCUGGUUUAUUCCGAUAACUAACGAGACUCUAGCCUACUAACUAGUUAUGCGAUCUUCUUGUCGUAUUAACUUCUUAGAGGGACAAGCGGUGCUCAGCCGCAUGAAAAAGAGCAAUAACAGGUCUGUGAUGCCCUUCGAUGUUCGGAGCUGCACGCGCGCUACACUGUAGAAUGCAACGUGCUAGCUUGCCUCGCUCGCAAGAGUGGGGUAAUCGGUUGAAAUUUCUACGUGAUUGGGAUAGGGACUUGUAAUUAUUUCCCUUGAACGAGGAAUCCCUAGUAAGUGCAGGUCAUCAGCUUGUGCUGAUUACGUCCCUGCCCUUUGUACACACCGCCCGUCGCUGCCCGGAACUGAGCCAUUUCGAGAAAAAUGGGGACUGAUUGCUUGUGAGCACGCAAGUGCUUCUUGCAGUCGGAAACCAUCU